GCUAAGUCCGGGGCAGCGGGUGUGGUAAUGAGGUGGGUGCAAGCGUUAUCCGGAUUCACUGGGUUUAAAGGGAGCGUAGGUGGCUUUGGAAGUCAGUGGUGAAAUGUCGCGGCUCAACCGCGAAACUGCCAUUGAUACUGCUUAGCUUGAAUCACGUCGAGGUGGAUGGAAUAUUACAUGUAGCGGUGAAAUGCUUAGAUAUGUAAUAGAACACCGAUUGCGAAGGCAGUUCACUAGGCGUGUAUUGACACUGAGGCUCGAAAGCGUGGGGAUCAAACAGGAUUAGAUACCCGAGUAGUC
Molecule: ribosomal RNA, 300 nt
Filed under: uncultured Lactobacillus sp.
Lineage: Bacteria; Bacillati; Bacillota; Bacilli; Lactobacillales; Lactobacillaceae
Description: bacterial SSU rRNA
Rfam family: Bacterial small subunit ribosomal RNA
Source: RNAcentral